CAGUAGCCACGGUAAUACGAAGGGUGCAAGCGUUAAUCGGAAUUACUGGGCGUAAAGCGUGCGUAGGCGGUUUGUUAAGUCUGCUGUGAAAUCCCCGGGCUCAACCUGGGAAUGGCAGUGGAUACUGGCAAGCUAGAGUGUGUCAGAGGAUGGUGGAAUUCCCGGUGUAGCGGUGAAAUUCGUAGAGAUCGGGAGGAACAUCAGUGGCGAAGGCGGCCAUCUGGGACAACACUGACGCUGAGGCACGAAAGCGUGGGGAGCAAACAGGAUUAGAUACCCCCGUAGUCCCUGUCUCUUAUCC
This 301-nucleotide ribosomal RNA is filed under the name uncultured bacterium. RNAcentral describes it as "partial 16S ribosomal RNA". It matches the Rfam family "Bacterial small subunit ribosomal RNA", at positions 509 to 809 of the family's 1533-position model. The record is from RNAcentral.